GCCAGGUGCAGUGGCACAUGUGUGUAGUCCCAGCUACUCGGGAAGCUGAGGCAGGAGGAUUGCUUGAGCCCAGGAGUUCUGGGCUGUAAUGUGCUAUGCCAGCCGGAUGUCAGCACUAAGUUCGGCAUCAGUAUGGUGACCUCCCGGGAGCGGGGGACCAUCAGGUUGCCUAAGGAGGGGUGAACCGGCCCAGGUCGGAAAUAGAGGAGGUAAAAAAAAAUAGGGGUGAACAGUGGCUUUCUUUGGGUGAGAGAAUUAUGGUCGAUUUCUUCUCUUUCUGCUUUUUACCAUUUUCGAUUCUUU
Molecule: non-coding RNA, 303 nt
Filed under: Panthera tigris altaica (Amur tiger)
Lineage: Eukaryota; Metazoa; Chordata; Mammalia; Carnivora; Felidae
Source: RNAcentral